RNAcentral lists this ribosomal RNA (253 nucleotides) under uncultured bacterium. RNAcentral describes it as "partial 16S ribosomal RNA". It matches the Rfam family "Bacterial small subunit ribosomal RNA", at positions 524 to 776 of the family's 1533-position model. The record is from RNAcentral.
UACGGAGGGUGCAAACGUUGCUCGGAAUUAUUGGGCGUAAAGCGCACGUAGGCGGCGCGUUAAGUCGGGUGUGAAAGCCCUGGGCUCAACCCAGGAAGUGCAUUCGAAACUGGCGCGCUUGAAUAUGGAAGAGGGUCGCGGAAUUCCCGGUGUAGAGGUGAAAUUCGUAGAUAUCGGGAGGAACACCAGUGGCGAAGGCGGCGACCUGGGCCAAUAUUGACGCUGAGGUGCGAAAGCGUGGGGAGCAAACAGG